This 492-nucleotide ribosomal RNA is filed under the name uncultured bacterium. RNAcentral's name for it is "partial 16S ribosomal RNA". It matches the Rfam family "Bacterial small subunit ribosomal RNA", at positions 29 to 507 of the family's 1533-position model. The record is from RNAcentral.
AGUGAACGCUGGCGGUAGGCCUAACACAUGCAAGUCGAACGGCAGCACAGUAAGAGCUUGCUCUUACGGGUGGCGAGUGGCGGACGGGUGAGGAAUACAUCGGAAUCUACUUUUUCGUGGGGGAUAACGUAGGGAAACUUACGCUAAUACCGCAUACGACCUACGGGUGAAAGCAGGGGAUCUUCGGACCUUGCGCGAUUGAAUGAGCCGAUGUCGGAUUAGCUAGUUGGCGGGGUAAAGGCCCACCAAGGCGACGAUCCGUAGCUGGUCUGAGAGGAUGAUCAGCCACACUGGAACUGGAACACGGUCCAGACUCCUACGGGAGGCAGCAGUGGGGAAUGUUGGACAAUGGGCGCAAGCCUGAUCCAGCCAUACCGCGUGGGUGAAGAAGGCCUUCGGGUUGUAAAGCCCUUUUGUUGGGAAAGAAAAGCAGCAGGUUAAUACCCCGCUGUUCUGACGGUACCCAAAGAAUAAGCACCGGCUAACUUCGUG